Molecule: small RNA, 613 nt
Filed under: Arabidopsis thaliana (thale cress)
Lineage: Eukaryota; Viridiplantae; Streptophyta; Magnoliopsida; Brassicales; Brassicaceae
Description: ATSL064670
Source: RNAcentral
AAAAAAGAUAAGAAAGCGUAGAAAUUAGGAUGAAAUGUAAUGCUUAUUACUUAUCUUCAUGUGAAGUUUCUCAAAUAUCUAUAUAUACAUUUUUGCAUCUAUUUUGUAAAAUAAAUCUUAGAGUUGGAACUUAUUUACAAUGGUUGUAACUGGCUUUUAAUUAUUGAUUUUCUUUUGGCAAUAAAUUGAUUAACAAACAAAAAAUAUUCCAAAUAUAUUCCAAUCUCAUAUAUCAUGCAGAUUUCUCCAAAAUUUGAACUAGAUUUCGGAAAUUAUUUAAAACAAAAAAUAUUUGACAAACCAAAAUACAAUUGCAAUCCCUUAAAAUGAGCAAAACGCACCUAAAUACAUUUCUUAUCAGUUCACUAAAUCUUAUUUCUCCAAUAUUUGAAUUAGAUUUCGACAACUAUUUAAUACGAGACGGUAUAGCACGGGUGAAAUCCAUUAGAUAUGUUUAGUUUCACUGAACGGGAUUAGAUGGUAGGACGGGUUUGAGUCGAUAGUAAUACGAAACGGUAUACCACGUGUGAAGUUCUAGAUAUAACAAUCAAAAUAUAAUUAUAUUAUCUUAAAUACUAAACAAAACAAUUAUAAAAUAAAAAUAUAAUUAAAU